GUGUCUUCUCUCUUGCCUCCCCCAUCUAUGGGGAGUAGUAGCUCCGUUGAUAGAGUGUUUGCCUGGCAUGCAAUAAACCCUGGGUUCAAUCCCCAGCACGGCACAAAUCAGGCAUGGUGGGGGCAUGGUGACAUGCACCUGUAAACCCAGUAGAGAUUGGGAGAGUCAGAGGUUCAAGGUCAUCCUUGACUACACAGUAAGUUCAUGGCCAGAUGAGAUCCGUGAAACCCUGUCUCGGAAUAUGAAGGGAGGCAGAGAGAGAGCCCAGUGGGUGAAAGAAUUUGCCAUGCAAGCCCAACGACCCACAUUUGAUCCUUAGAACCCAUGUAAAACACCAGUUUAUUUGUCUGUAAUCCCCGUACCCCAUCCUGAGACGGUGGCAACAGGAGAACCAUCCAGAAGCUCGAGGGCCAGCUAGACUUCAGUUCAAAGCUUCAACGAUAGAAGCAGCAAGAAGGACCCUGCCUCAGCAAGAUGGAAGGAAAGAGCCCCAAAACUGUCCUUAGACCUUCAGGUCCUCCCCAUGUAGGCUAGCCUUGAGUGCAAUCCUCCUGCCUCACCCUUCAAGCGUUUUUUGGUUACAAGUGUAGGAUUCACAAUUCUGUUUCACGGAAGCCGCCUGACCUAAGGAUCCUUGGCACCAACUUCCUAGUUGGAAAUCUGACUCCUGUCGAUUUACUGCGUGAGGUCUGGCAAGACUUUCAACCUCACCCAAGCUUGAUUUGAUAGAAAGGGGACAAUAACACUUCAGAAAAUUAUGGAAGUCCCCCAUCCUCAUUGGAACCUGUCCAAAGGAGGCACAGGAACCAGGGCGUUCUGGUGACUGAUCUGGGUGAGGCUCCAGUCUCUCCUAGGGACUUGAGAAGAUCAGAGGUGAUCCGCUAGGGCUUCUGAAAGAGAAGUGACUCUGGCAGUUUGGGCACAUUGUCCUGAAGUCAUCUAUCCCAGGGGAAGUGUGGACCACUCCUAAAGACUGACCAUGCCCCACAUAUUUGGAUUUUGCUUUCUACCAUGUGAUGGUGUGUGAUUGCUGCGGUGCUAGAAUCUUUCCAACACUCCAGGUCAAACUUUGUUUGUUUGUUUGUUUGUUUGUUUUAUUGCUGUACAAAUACAAACAUCAAUUUUCAGCAAA
Molecule: long non-coding RNA, 1132 nt
Organism: Mus caroli (Ryukyu mouse)
Lineage: Eukaryota; Metazoa; Chordata; Mammalia; Rodentia; Muridae
Source: RefSeq, a predicted model, not a curated record